UUAUUAUGAAUAAUUAACAGGGAAGAGGGAAUUAUAAAUUGUAAUUAAUUGUAGGUUAAAUAGGGUAAUUACUUAUGUAUCCCAGAAAAAAAUUAAGUUACACAGAAGUAGAGGAAGAUGAACAAGAAGAAUUUAAAACGGAAGAGGAUGAAAGAGUGUUUUCUAGAGAGAGAUUUUGUACGUGAAUGGAAGCUUCUCAAAUCACUCAUUAACGAUAUUGUUUCUGAUGGCCUGCUCUCCAACUUCUCUUCUGCGCAUAAAAUUCGAUCCAUUGUACUCUGUCCGUCCCUCCCUGUGAUGUAUUAUUAGUUAUUAGUUCAAUGCUAUACAUUCGUAAUUGAAGAUUCUGUAGCCUUCCAUCGAUAUUUAAUUGUUGUUGUUGUUUUAUGAUAUCAAGUUUUUGUUUUUGUUUUUGUUCGUAUAAUCGACGAUUUGUUCCGUUUCAUUGCUGAGUAAAGUUCUUAAGGUUUGCUGGUUUUGGCAAGAAAAAGAGCAACUGUGGAGAAUUUUUAUUGUAAUAAUAAUAAUAAUAAUAAUAAUAAUAAUAAUAAUAAUAAUAAUAAUAAUUAAUAGAGGUGGAUAAAGGAAUUGAAAUUUGGAGGUGGCGGGUGCACCAUUUGUGUCUUCUGUUCGGUUUACUCAUUUUUUAUUUGAUGAUGAAAAUAGUACAAAUUAGCUUCUGUCGGGGUUGGUUUUGAGGUCGUUUGGUAGGGAUUACAAAAAUAGUACUUAGGGGCUCAUUUGGUUGACAAUUUACUCAGCAUCUGAGUUGACCCUGUUUUAAUUUAUGGGGUGAAUUAUUUGGCACGAUUCAUAGUUUGCAUGAAUGGUUAAAUUUCCCUUUUAAAUCUAGUUGUUCAAUAUGCAUGGUUGUACGUGUGAUAUGUCUUUUGAAUUUUACUAUUCUUAUGGCAUAACUUGUGAUCUAUUUAAUGCUUAAAUGUCUUAGAUUAAUCAUGUCUUUGUUCGACCCACUAACUUCAAUUUUGAACAAAAACAAAAUAGAAGGUCGGAAUUAUGUUGACUGGAAAAGAAAUCUUGAUGGUGUCCUAACUGCUAAAGAGUACAAAUUCUUACCGGUUUAUGAGUGCCCUGAAAAACCUGUGGAAUAUGCCACUAAUGAUCAAUUUAAGGCCUAUGGAAAAUGGAUCAAGGCCGAUGAAAUGAUGCGACGUUACAUUCUUGCCUCUAUGGCGAAUGUUCUUGCAACGUCAACAUAAGUCUAUAAGGUCUGCUUAUGACAUGCUUUAAAGUCUCAAAGUGAUGUUUGACGAGCAAAGUUGUCUUUCUAAGCAGAUAACCGUGAAAACCCUUUUGAAUUCGAAGAUGGCUGACGGAUCACCAGUUAGGGACCAUGUUCUGUAUAUGAUGAGUCUUCUAAAUGAACUGGAGGUCCUUGGAGCUGUGAUUGAUAAGAAAUCUAAAUUUAAUUCUUUUCAUGACUGUUAAAAAUAUUAUUCUGCAGAUAGACAAAUAUCAGGAGCAAGGUCAAUUACUGGAGCCUUACCUCGAGUGUAUGGUUUCACCCCUCAUGUCCAUUAUCCGUUCAAAAAUUGUCUAACUAGGUGCUGCCUCAGAAGAAAUUCUUGAAGUAAUCAAGCCUGUAUGUGUCAUAAUCUAUUCCUUGGUGACGGUUUGCGGCCACAAGGCUGUUGUCAAGUUCUUCCCACAGCAAGUCUCUGACCUUGAGCUUGCAGUAUCUCUCUUAGAGAAAUGCCAUAAUGCACAAGCUGUAACAUCAUUACGACAAGAAAGUACUGGAGAGAUGGAGGCAAAAUGUGUGAUACUAUUGUGGCUUUACGUUCUUGUAUUAAUCCUGUUUGAUAUAUCUUCUGUUGAUAUUAUUAUUGUGGAUAACAACUAUGCUGGAGGUGAUGAGCCACCUCCCCUUGUAUUAAGAAUUCUAGAAUUCUCUAAAGACUACCUUUCGAGUGUGGGUCCUAUGCAAACCAUAGCUGGUUUGCUGCUCUCGUGGCUUCUAACACGGCCUGAUAUGACUAAGGCUUUUACCAGGUCUCCAACUGCCUAAAACCUUGCCAUUUAUAACAUUUAUUGAUUUGAAUUUUUUCAGUCAAAAGAGGAAAAAAGUACAUAAAAGUAGAUGAAUUAUCUGGUCAUUCUCAUGUAUACACAAUUACAUUUGUGAAUGAAAAUGACAACACAAGCGUUGGAGUAGCAUUUACUGCAUUUCACUUUGCUUGUUAUGGAUAUGCAGUUCACUUUUAUGUAUGACCCGGCUGACAAAAACGCAUCCUUGCAAAUCGUCAUCAAUACGUGUGUAGCAUUCUCUUUUCUUUUUUGUAAAGUGAAUAAUUGUGCAGCAAAAAGAAUAAGAACCUCGUAAAUUGAACAUUUGUGCAGCAAAAAGAAUAAGAACCUUUUACGAAUGAAAUAUGCUGAGAAAGUACGGAGAUGAAUAUUUUUAUGCCUCCUUAAGGAAUUAUAUAUGUUUGACAUACAUAUUUGCUUCCCCAUAAAUUUGUUUUCAGUUUUAUGCACUGGGCACAUGAAGUUAUGUCCUGUCUUUCACAUGAUGUUGUCAACCACUUCCAGCUAUUGGGUAAAGUUGAAGCACUAGCUGCUAUUUUCAAGGUUUGCUCUUUGCUCUUUUUGCCCUAUAUUUUGGAAUAUUCCUAGCUUUCCUUUUAUGUAUAUUGCUAAUCUAUAGAAAUUAUGAUUCUACUUAGAACUUACGCACUCCUCUUUAACUCAAAUUUGAAUGAACUGAAUUCAUGUUCAUGCCUUCCCCUUCAGACCAGGAAGUACUUAUAGCUGCUCUUCCAGGAGCAAUUUCUUCUAGGUAAUAAUCUGAGACGGAGUAUGUGGUAACGGUUAAUUCUGAAAGAAAUGGACAAGGGUGGAAAAUCAAUUUGGAUUUUGUAAAGUAAAUACCUAGUUUUAUUUGGUUUUAUGCCUGGUCGCGCCACGACUGAGGCAAUUCACCUUGUGCGGAGACUGGUAGAGCAGUAUAGAGAGAGGAAGAGGGAUCUUCACAUAGUGUUUAUUGACUUGAAAAAGGCGUAUGAAAAGGUCCCUAGGGAGGUUUUUUGGAGAUGUUUGGAGGAGAGGGAGUCCCGGUGGCGUACAUUAGAGCGAUUAAGGACAUGUAUGAGGGAGCAAAGACCCGGGUAAGGACAAUGGGAGGAGAUUCUGAGCAUUUUCUGGUCUCGACAGGGUUACACCAGGGAUCAACUCUUAGUCCGUUUUUAUUCGCUUUGGUGAUGGAUGUGUUGACGCAGAAUAUAUAAGGUGAGGUGCCUUGGUGUAUGCUUUUCGCGGAUGAUAUAGUUUUGAUUGAUGAGUCGCGACAAGGGGUUAAUGAUAAGCUGGAGGUUCGGAGACAAACCCUGGAGUCUAAAGGUUUCAAGUUGAGUAGGACCAAGACAGAAUACUUGGAGUGCAAGUUUAGUGACUCGAGGCAAGAGGAGGAGGUGGUAGUGAAGUUAGAGUCUCAGGCGGUUUGCAAGAGGGAUAGUUUUAAGUAUCUUAGGUCUACGAUUCAGGGAAAUGGAGAGAUAGACGAGGAUGUCUCUCAUCGUAUUGGGGCAGGUUGGAUGAAAUGGAGGCUCGCUUCGGGGAUUUUAUGUGAUAAGAAGGUGCCCCCAAGCUGAAAGGCAAAUUCUAUAGAGUUGCAGUCCGGCCUGCCAUGUUGUGUGGAGCGGAGUGUUGGCCGGUUAAGAAUUCGCAUAUCUAAAAGUUGAAGGUGGCGGAAAUGAGGAUGUUGUGUUAGAUGUGUGGAUGCACAAGGGCUGACAGGGUUAGGAAUGAAAUUAUUCGAGAGAAGGUGGGAGUGGUGUUAGUGGAGGAUAAAAUGCGGGAAGUGAGGUUGAGAUGGUUUGGUCAUGUGAUGAGGAGAGGCACGGAUGCCCCAGUUCGUAGGUGUGAAAGGUUGGCCUUGGAAGGUUUUAAACGGGGUAGGGGUAGGCCGAAGAAAUACUGGAGAGAAGUGAUUAAACGUGAUAUGGAGCAGUUACAGCUGACUGAGGACAUGACCCUAGAUAGGAAGAUAUGGAGGAAAAGCAUUAGUAUAGAAGACUAAGGGUAUGGUUGAGUCGUAGUCAGUAUUUAGGUGGACUUUGGUGUCCUUUGUUUGGCAAUGCACAUAUUUUUGUGGAUGUCGUACCUAUGUUAUUUUAUUGUGUUCUAUGCUCUUAUGCUUGUGUGUACUGCCUUUUAUCUUGAGUCGGGGGUCUAUCGAAAACAGCCUCUUUACCUCUGUAGAGGUAGUGGUAUGGACUGCGUACAUUCUACCCUCCCCAGACCCCACAAUAUGGGAAUAUAUUGGGUUUGUUGUUGUUGUAAAGUAAAUACCUAGUUUUAA
This 4321-nucleotide long non-coding RNA is filed under the name Capsicum annuum. RNAcentral's name for it is "long non-coding RNA (CANN_LNC005283)". The record is from RNAcentral. Lineage: Eukaryota; Viridiplantae; Streptophyta; Magnoliopsida; Solanales; Solanaceae.